UGACAUUCUUUAUGAUAGUCACAUUAGCAGCUAAUUAGAAUUUAAUUUUUUUGGGGGGGGGGGGGGUAUGCGAAUAUAUUGAUAAACAUCACCUUGUCCUGGAGAGAUUUACAUGGUUAUCAAAACAUCACGCCAGGGUAAGAAUACAUGAAACACAGCCCUUAUUUUAUGUGUUUCUAAAAUCCCCUAAAAAUGAAUAGUGGAAAACCGAUUGGAACCAUUUCCCUGUUUGACCGCUAGGUUUUAUAAGGUUCUUUUGACUCAUACUGUUGUGCUCUACUGGAAUAAGUGAGUAGCCCAUUGGCUGCGCAUGCGUUGGCUUACAAUCCAUGAUGGUGGCCAUGACACAUGCGCAGUUCGGCACGAGACAACCGUUGGACCCGAUGACGUGUGUCUGCGCAUGAGCUUAGAUAGCCAACGUCGCCAUGACAUCGCCUACGAGCGUGAUCGGGGAUUUCUAUUGGAGAAGCAUGUUCUGCCUAUCUCCAUUCUGUUGGCACUGGACUGUGAAGGUGUCGUUACUGGAGCUGCAAUGACAACAAUGUAGAUGCAUAUUUGAGAUGCAAAUGAAUAAUGAAAAUGUGAUGAUAGAGCACAGAUCUGUCUGUGUGUGUGUGUGUCUAAAUGAGGACUAAUUGUUGAUUUGAGUAUUCAGCCAGGACUCACGAACAACUGUCAACAACACUGAAUCAUAAUCAGGGCUGGAUGACUCCUUAAAUAACUCUCAUCAAAGUCACAUUGACUGUAAUGAAGCAUCAACAUUAGGGAUAAACCAUUGGGAACAGACAGCUAGACCUUGUCCAAUGCAACAACAAAAAGCUGGCAUCCUGCAAAACAUGUAGGCUAUUGUAUGUGACUGUAGGAAAAACGCAUACGAGUUUAGGUCUAGAGUGACAUCCUUUGUAGCUAUUAUUCAUUGAAAAUAUUUUGCUGUCAACUUUCAUUUCAUCAAGAGUUGUAGGUAGAUUUCGAUGGCUAACCCAUUUGUACAAGUCCUGUUGGAAAAUGUAUGUGGGUUUUAACCCACAAGAUCGAUUGCUUUCAGAUACAAAAUGUGUAUGUUUCACAGCUUACAGCCAGGCCAAUGUACUACUCCUCCAGCCCUACUCAUAGUGCUGCGUCUUGUGGACUGGCGACGUGUGUAUGUUUCUGCAGGACCUGAGCCCUAGGACCAUGCCUCGUUUCCUGGCUGUCCCCAGUCCACCUGGUCAUGCUGCUGCUCCAGUUUCAACUGUUCUGCCUCCGGCUAUGGAACCCUGACUUGUUCACCGGACGUGCAACCUUGUUCCGGACCUGCUGUUUUCGACUCUCUCCCGCUCUACCUCACCUGCUGUCUCAACCUCUGAAUGCUUGGCUAUGAAAAGCCAACUGACAUAUACUCCUGAGAGGAAGAUUGCAGUGGGCCUCAAAAGAAUCCGGACAACAGAAGUUUUCUGUUUUGAACUUUGGAGUAGAGCACCCGUCAAAGGAGUUCUCAGGCGUGACGACGGAUGUUCAGGUUGAAUACCUGAAGAGAAUUCCUGGUGUGGUUGGAGCCCGGCGUCUAACCCGCUGGCUGAAUGGAGAGAAAGAAGAAAGUCUGUCGGUACAGUUGUUUUUUGAUAAAGAGCAAAU
RNAcentral lists this long non-coding RNA (1614 nucleotides) under Salmo salar (Atlantic salmon). Its description in RNAcentral is "lncRNA (ENSSSAG00000113754.1)". Lineage: Eukaryota; Metazoa; Chordata; Actinopteri; Salmoniformes; Salmonidae. The record is from RNAcentral.